Molecule: ribosomal RNA, 450 nt
Filed under: uncultured bacterium
Lineage: Bacteria
Description: partial 16S ribosomal RNA
Rfam family: Bacterial small subunit ribosomal RNA
Source: RNAcentral
GUGGGGAAUCUUCCGCAAUGGACGAAAGUCUGACGGAGCAACGCCGCGUGAGUGAUGAAGGUCUUCGGAUUGUAAAGCUCUGUUAAUCGGGACGAAAGAGCCUAGUGUGAAUAAUGCUAGGAAGUGACGGUACCGGAAUAGAAAGCCACGGCUAACUACGUGCCAGCAGCCGAGGUAAUACGUAGGUGGCAAGCGUUGUCCGGAAUUAUUGGGCGUAAAGCGCGCGCAGGCGGAUCUGCCAGUCUGUCUUAAAAGUUCGGGGCUUAACCCCGUGAUUGGAUGGAAACUACAGAUCUAGAGUAUCGGAGAGGAAAGUGGAAUUCCUAGUGUAGCGGUGAAAUGCGUAGAUAUUAGGAAGAACACCAGUGGCGAAGGCGACUUUCUGGACGAAAACUGACGCUGAGGCGCGAAAGCCAGGGGAGCGAACGGGAUUAGAAACCCUGGUAGUCC